Sinocyclocheilus grahami is the source of this 594-nucleotide long non-coding RNA. RefSeq lists it as uncharacterized. NCBI's taxonomy places the organism in Eukaryota, Metazoa, Chordata, Actinopteri, Cypriniformes, Cyprinidae. The record is from RefSeq and is a predicted model, not a curated record. The transcript has 3 exons.
GAGACCAACUCGGGCACAGCGCUUCACUGAGAUGUUGCGGUUUUAUCCAUCGGUGCAGAACGUCUAAUAUUUAUGUGAAAGGCCGUAAACAACCUCUUCUCAUCGAAGAGGCAGUACAGUAUCUAAAAUGAGUCACGAUAAGGGGAGAGAAGAGAAAGAUGUCAAGAGAGCAGGAUCUCCAGAACCAAACUGGAUGUCUAAGAAGAGUGACAGCUGUGCACAAAUUAACAUCAGCGAUGAACCGGCAAGGUUUGACCCAAGUGGUGGAAAGGAUCAUCUAUACCACAAUCAGUCUAGAUGUGGAGUUUGUGAGCAGGUUCCGAGAGACCCGGUCUCUAUCUCCUGUGGACACAGUUUCUGCAGACAGUGCAUCAAUACAUACUGGGAUCAGUCCAGACCAUCAGAAAACUAUGACUGUCCUCAGUGCAGAAAGACAUCUAGAACAUAUCCUGUUCUACACACAUACAACAUUAUUGGAAGAUCCAGAUCUGCUAAUUCUGUUCAAUAUUACACUCAAAAAGCCCAGCAGGAGAAAACAAGAGACCUACAGAAACCAGUUGAUGAUAAACUACGUAGGUUCAAAGACCAGCACAA